RNAcentral lists this ribosomal RNA (253 nucleotides) under uncultured bacterium. Its description in RNAcentral is "partial 16S ribosomal RNA". It matches the Rfam family "Bacterial small subunit ribosomal RNA", at positions 524 to 776 of the family's 1533-position model. The record is from RNAcentral.
UACGGGGGGGGCAAGCGUUGUUCGGAAUCACUGGGCGUAAAGCGCGUGUAGGCGGCCCACUAAGUCUGAUGUGAAAGCCCGGGGCUCACCCCCGGAAGUGCAUUGGAAACUGGUGGACUCGAGUCCCGGAGAGGAGAGUGGAAUUCCUGGUGUAGCGGUGAAAUGCGUAGAUAUCAGGAGGAACACCGAUGGCGAAGGCAGUGUUCUGGGCCAGUACUGACGCUGAGGAGCGAAAGCGUGGGGAGCAAACAGG